GAUGAACGCUGGCGGCGUGCCUAAUACAUGCAAGUCGAGCGAACGGACGAGAAGCUUGCUUCUCUGAUGUUAGCGGCGGACGGGUGAGUAACACGUGGAUAACCUACCUAUAAGACUGGGAUAACUUCGGGAAACCGUAGCUAAUACCGGAUAAUAUUUUGAACCGCAUGGUUCAAAAGUGAAAGACGGUCUUGCUGUCACUUAUAGAUGGAUCCGCGCUGCAUUAGCUAGUUGGUAAGGUAACGGCUUACCAAAGCAACGAUGCAUAGCCGACCUGAGAGGGUGAUCGGCCACACUGGAACUGAGACACGGUCCAGACUCCUACGGGAGGCAGCAGUAGGGAAUCUUCCGCAAUGGGCGAAAGCCUGACGGAGCAACGCCGCGUGAGUGAUGAAGGUCUUCGGAUCGUAAAACUCUGUUAUUAGGGAAGAACAUAUGUGUAAGUAACUGUGCACAUCUUGACGGUACCUAAUCAGAAAGCCACGGCUAACUACGUG
Molecule: ribosomal RNA, 497 nt
Filed under: uncultured bacterium
Lineage: Bacteria
Description: partial 16S ribosomal RNA
Rfam family: Bacterial small subunit ribosomal RNA
Source: RNAcentral